UUACUUGAGUAUUAAUAGUUAUGGUCUUGAAACUUAAAAAAUUUGGCGGUAUCUUAGUCUAUUCAGAGGAACCUGUUAUGUAAUCGAUAAUCCACGAUGGACCUAACUUAAUUUUGUUUUUCAAUUUAUAUAUCGCUGUUAUAGAAAAUUUUAUAAGAAUAAUAAUUUUCAAUUAAUUUUAUAAAAUUAUAUAUCAAGUCAAGGUGUAGUUUAUGAUUAAGUAUAUUAUGGGUUACAAUAAAUUUAUUUAAGCGAAUUUAAAAUUGAAAUAAUUUUAAUGAAGAUGGAUUUGAUAGUAAAUUUUUAAAGAUAAAAAAUUUGAUUUUAGCUCUAAGAUAUGCACACAUCGCCCGGUCGCUC
Molecule: ribosomal RNA, 360 nt
Filed under: Tachydromia pieltaini
Lineage: Eukaryota; Metazoa; Arthropoda; Insecta; Diptera; Hybotidae
Description: partial small subunit ribosomal RNA
Source: RNAcentral